UACACACCGCCCGUCGCACCAUGGGAGUUGGCUUUACCUGAAGACGGUGCGCUAACCGCAAGGAGGCAGCCGGCCACGGUAGGGUCAGCGACUGGGGUG
Molecule: ribosomal RNA, 99 nt
Filed under: uncultured bacterium
Lineage: Bacteria
Description: partial 16S ribosomal RNA
Rfam family: Bacterial small subunit ribosomal RNA
Source: RNAcentral